AGCCAUAUAUCCAUGUUGCGGCAAAGCGGGCAACACUGGAUGCAACAACUUCAUUCACUCGCUUGCUAAAAAUGGCCGCCUGCUCGAUAGACGCGCGUACAUUUUAUUACAUUAAAAAUUCAUGUCGAAUACGAAAAUUGUAACCGUAACCCUGAAUACAAACCUUUUAUUUAUCAAGUGGAGUCAGAUUUUCAUUUAUUAACAUCCAUAAUCAAACAUUGGUGACACUCGACGUGAUAGCAUCAAAACGACGCAUAUUGGAUACCAUCAUAACGAGAUUUACACAAGGAGAAAUUGGAUCAAUUGGACAUUGGAGAGCCUUCCACUACGAGCUUGAAGCCAGCCGGUCAGCCUACAGCCUACGAGCAGCGCCGCAGCCAGUGCUUAGCCAGGAAAGUGCUUCAUCCAUCUAUACCUAUUCCAGAUUAUCCCAUUUUCAAACCUAAUUUGUCUAAGGAAAGUUGCCAAUUUCUUCAUUUGCUAAUUCAUUUCGUUUUUAUUUAAUUUUCAACGUGUCUUUACCGACUAGCGAGCCAAACUAAAGCUAAAUUCUGUACUUAAGUUGCAAGUCAUUCAAAGUUGACAAUUCAUUAUUUCAUUUCGCACUUCAAUUCAAUUUCAUAUUAAAUCAUUCAAAUCUUACUUCUUAAAUACCUAAAAUCUGCUUAUUUCAUUUAUUUGUAUAGAUUUGCAGACAUCAAAGGGUUAAAACAUCUUAAAUAUUUCAAUAUACAAGCGCGAACGCUGUCAUUCUUGUUAUCCACCAUUGCUAAUUGUUGUGUGUGAAGAUAGGUAUUAUAACAAGCUAACUCGUAAUAUUAUAAACACGCUAACUCGUUUUCUGUGCAUUCCAGUUCCGCUAUCAAUCGUGGGCCGCUCGAUGUCUUUGUUUAAGUCGCCUGCGCAGCUGAUACGCUAACCUUGACCUCAUUAACGGAGUGUUGGUGCAUUUGCCGGCUGGACUGCAUAAGUUACGUAUUGCAUUCAUAUUUUGAUUCCUUCUUUUCAAUUUUAAAGUCAAUUUAAGUGUAAUAACUUAAUAAUGUCUCAUGCUAGUGAACUUGCGAGUAAAUUACAAGUGGAAAGUGCUAAACUUCCAACACCUAGUGUGUCUAUGUCAAAUUAUAGCAUAAAAGAUUUGUGUACAAAACGAAGCUCGAUAAAAGCUGUUCCUGGCGUUUCUGCUGCUACGUGUGUCUUCUGUGGUGGUAGUCAUCGCAUCUACGACUGCUCCACAUUCCUGGCCAAGUCUGUGGAGGAUAGACAAAAGGAAGCAGCACGGUUAAAGCUAUGCAUAAACUGUUUGCGUAAGGGACAUUCUUCUCGUCAAUGCAGGUUGGGUCCUUGCAGUAUUUGUAAGAAAUAUCAUAAUAGUUUGCUACAUAGACAAAAUAAUUCUCAAGCCGUUAAUACAGCAAAUGUACAAUCUUCUGAGACUGAAGUUGAGUGUCAGCAGGAUUCGAAUGUCGAUACCAAUACUGUAGUGAACAAUAUGUCACUACUUACAGACAAUUGUAUUUUAUUAUCCACGGUUUUGGUGGAUAUUCAUAAUCCAGUUUCUCAAACACAUUGUACUGUUCGUGCACUGCUAGAUAGCGGUAGUCAAUGUUCGCUUAUUACAGAUAGUUUAAAGAACAAAUUGCAGUUGACUACUCAGCCAACCAGUGUCGAUCUAGUCGGUGUAGGUAAUAAGCCACUCUCCAAUGCAGUGCAAAGAUGCACCAUUCAUAUUAAAUCAAAACAUAGCCAUUUUAAUACAAACAUAACUUGUCUUGUACUUCCGCAUAUCUCCGGAAGCAUACCUAACAAGUCUAUAGAUAUUUCAAAUAUAACAUUACCAUCUAACAUUAAACUUGCUGAUCCUACAUUUAAUAUAUCUGCAACUGUAGAUUUGUUGAUAGGAGCUGACAUUUUUUGGUCUAUAAUUGAGUCUAAUCAAAUUAGUCUCGGCCCUAACCAGCCUGUUCUGAGGAAAACUAAAUUAGGUUGGAUAUUAGCAGGCCCAUUGUUAACAAAAAAUCAAGUUAGCUCACAAUCCAUUCAUUGCAAUCAUGUAAAUGUUACUUGCAACAAUAGUAACUGUAUUUCAAACGAAAACCUUAAUGAAAGAUUAACCGAUUUUUGGAAAUUAGAACAAAUUCCGUCCUCUGUUAUUGUAAAUACAGAAGAGGAAAUACAAUGUGAGAAAGAUUUUGUUGAAAAUACUUUUCGUAGCCAAGAUGGAAGGUUUAAUGUUAAACUUCCUCUUCUCUCGCAACCCGACUGCCUAGGCGAAUCAUAUAGAAAGGCCAAAAGACAAUUUUUAUCAUUAGAAAAAAGAUUAAAUAAAAAUCCUACUUUAAAGGAAAUGUAUUCCGAUUUCAUAAAAGAAUAUUCUGACCUAGGACAUUUGUCACCAUCUGCCAUUUUAGUUCCCGAGCUGUCAUAUUUUAUUCCACAUCAUGCAGUUUUAAAGCCUACAAGUGAAUCAACGAAACUACGAGUUGUAUUUAAUGGUAGUGCAAAAACUAGUUCCGGGUUUUCAAUUAAUGACAUUCAAAUGACCGGCCCACACAUUCAAGAUUCCCUAUUUAAUAUUUUAGUAAGAUUUAGGCAACAUACCUUUGUACUGUCCGGAGAUAUCGAGAAAAUGUACCGGCAGGUCAAUGUUCAAGAAUGUCAUCGUGACCUACAAAUGAUACUGUGGCGCGAUCAUGAUACUGAUCCUUUAAAAUCAUUACGACUAAACACAGUUACCUACGGGUUGACAAGUUCUAGUUUUUUGAGCACUCGCUGUUUGUGGCAGUUGGGUGAAGAUUGUAAUGACCCAAGAAUUAAAACCGUAAUUCAAAAGGAUUUUCUAGUCGACGAUUUACUGACCGGUUGUGACAAUAUAGGUGACUUACUUUACAUAAAAGAAUCUGUAGAAAAUGCUUUAUCUAAAGGUUGUAUGAAUUUACGCAAAUAUCGUAGCAAUACAUCAAAAAUAUUACCUGAUGAUAACGGUAGUCAAGAUAAACUAAUUUUAAGUUCAUCGUCACACAUACUGGGUGUAGGCUGGGAUCCGAAUGAUGAUUUUAUCCAUUUUCCUAAUAGUUACGAAAACAAUAAAGACAAACCUACUAAACGUUCUAUUUUAUCAGACACUUGCAAAGUCUUUGACCCUCUUGGGUUGUUGAGUCCUCUUACAAUUAAGCCAAAAAUCCUAGUACAAAAAUUAUGGAUACAAAAAAUAGAUUGGGACACACCAGCACCCUAUGACAUUUGCCAGUCAUGGUAUUCGUUUAUCGAGAACAUGAAACAUCUAUACACACUACGUAUACCUAGGCAUACUUUAUGUAUAUCCCCUGUUCAAAUUGAAAUGCAUUGUUUUUGCGACGCUUCACAAAGUGCAUACGCAGCGUGUAUUUAUUUAAGAUCUGUGGAUAGGCAGGAUAAUGUCAUAGUCAGGCUGCAGUGUGCAAAAGCCCGAUUAGCUUCUGUCAAGCCGACAACUAUUCCUCGUUUAGAGUUGUGUGCAUGUUUGUUAGGCGCCCAACUCGCGAGCGCCGUAUGUCGUGCGCUGCGAUGUGUGAUACACCGGAAAGUGUUUUGGACUGACUCAUCGAUCGCGCUCACGUGGUUAGCUUCACGGUACGACAAGCUAGAAACAUUUGUGGCUAAUAGGGUAGGGGCAAUAUUAGACCUCACUGAAUUGUCUGACUGGAGACACGUACCCACCGCAUCGAAUCCUGCUGAUGUAGCUUCUCGCGGUGUGGACGCUGAUAAAAUUAAUAAUUUAAGUUUGUGGUGGAAUGGACCAACCUUUCUUACCCAACCAGAACCGUUUUGGCCUUCACGCAAUUUUAAACAAUGUAAUGAUGAAAGUAAUGUGUCUGAAAUGAAAGUGAAUAUGAUUAAUAAAUAUAAUCCAAUUAAUCAACAGCUCAUAGAUUUUAAUCGUUAUUCCAAAUUAAAAUUUCUACAACGUUCAUUUGCUUACUUGCUUAGAUUUAUUCAUAAUUGUCGUAAUCCACAAAAUAGAAAAUCUGGUAUUUUACAACCAGAGGAGCUUUCAGCUUCUUUUGAGAAAUUGGUGCGCUUAGCUCAACAAGAACUUUUUCCAAAUGAAAUAGCAAUUUUAUCUAGCAAAGAAAGCUUACCUUCUAAGAAUCCAUUAUUAAGCCUAAAUCCCUUUAUUGACGAGAAUAAUGUCUUAAGGGUAGGUGGACGUUUAGAAUCCUCCUGCUACAGUUUUGAAAAGCGCCACCCCAUGUUAUUACAUAAAAAACAUAGACUUACCAAGUUGUUGUUCGAGCAGGAACACUUGCGACUUCUGCAUGCUGGUCCGCAGCUGCUUCUUUCUUCUAUAAGAGAACUGGUUUGGCCUUUAGCCGGCAGAGAUCUUGCUCGUACCACUGCAAGGCAUUGCGUAGUUUGCAGAAGGGCCAGCGGGAAAACGUUGACACCUAUGAUGGGUGCGCUGCCACCCCAACGAGUAAAUCCUGAUUUUCCUUUCAUUACUGUUGGUGUCGACUUUGCUGGGCCAUUCUUUAUAACCGAUCGUAAAGGUAGAGGUUGUAAGAUAACAAAAUGUUACCUCUGUAUUUUUGUUUGCCUCAGAUUUAAAUGUAUACAUUUAGAAGCCGUAAGUGAAUUGUCCACAGAUGCUUUCAUAUUAUCCCUACGCCGUUUUAUCUCCCGCAGGGGAAAGCCAGCUGAGAUUUUCUGCGAUAAUGGUAGGAACUUUCUAGGAGCCUCUAAAGAAAUAGGUAAUUUUUUAAUUUCACAUACUCAUAAUAUCAAUAAUUUUCUUUCUGAAGAAGGAAUUAAAUUCAAUUUUCAGCCGGCUUAUGCGCCUCAUUUCGGAGGGUUAUGGGAGGCUGGCGUUAAAUCUGCCAAAUUUCAUAUAAAAAGAAUUUUAGGGAAUACACAUCUAACAUUUGAGGAGUUGGCAACUCUAUUCAGCCAAAUUGAAUCCAUCCUGAACAGCAGACCUUUGUAUCCCUUAUCUUCCAGUCCCAAUGAUUUCCAACCUUUAACCCCGGGUCACUUUCUGAUUGGCAGACCAUUGGCGUCGCUGCCGUCACCUAAUUUAUUAAAUGAAAAGGUUCACAGACUUAAUCGCUAUCAGAGACUGGAAAUGCUGCGUCAACACUUCUGGAACCGCUGGAAACUUGAGUACAUAGCAGAGCUCCAACAGCGUAUUAAAUGGCGAGUUCCAGAUAGACAGCUGCAAGUUGGAGAAUUAGUUUUGAUGAAGGAGGAGAAUACCCCACCUAUGCAAUGGAAGCUAGGACGAAUAACUGCCCUGUAUCCUGGCAAAGAUCGCGUGGCUCGUGUCGCAGAAGUUAAAACCUCUACGAGUACUUAUCGACGCGCCAUCAAAUAUCUCUGCCCUUUGCUGGAGCCUUCGGAAGACACCAUUGAAGACUAAUACUUCCCGGGCCCCCCAAUAUGUUGCGGCAAAGCGGGCAACACUGGAUGCAACAACUUCAUUCACUCGCUUGCUAAAAAUGGCCGCCUGCUCGAUAGACGCGCGUACAUUUUAUUACAUUAAAAAUUCAUGUCGAAUACGAAAAUUGUAACCGUAACCCUGAAUACAAACCUUUUAUUUAUCAAGUGGA
Molecule: long non-coding RNA, 5585 nt
Organism: Helicoverpa armigera (cotton bollworm)
Lineage: Eukaryota; Metazoa; Arthropoda; Insecta; Lepidoptera; Noctuidae
Exons: 2
Source: RefSeq, a predicted model, not a curated record